CCCAGCCCUCUCAGAGCCCCUGGCUAAGGGCAGACAGAGGUAAACCAUCAAAAUCUGUUGUGGUGAGAGAUCCAGAAGUGGCCCGAGCCAGGGAGGCCUCCCAGAGGAGGCGGCAUCAGGACGGAGAAGGUGCUUCCCACCAUGGCAGGCAUGCGGGAGGGCAGGGCGGCCUCAGGAGGCUGCGGACCCCAGAGGUCCCACGUGCCCGGGCUCUGCAGACUGCCAAGUUGCAGACAGCCUGAGCCACGGUCAAAAUCAAGCAUUUUCUGGGAGGAGCCCCAUAGCCAGGAGGGAGGGGUGUAGUCACCCGCUCAGGGCCUUCACAGCGACUCCUAAACCCCGUGUCCUCUGGAUCACCCUGGUCUGCCGCCACCGGAGGAAGCUCAUCCCCAUCGGCGUUGUCGGCAGCAUCGCGUGGUGCCGGGUACCAUUGACUGCACGCUCACUGGGUACCAGGUGCUGGGCCAGGCCCUUUGCAUGUGUGUCUGCAAGCUCGGUGCCCACUUUACAGGCGCUUCUCUGAAGGAUGGAAAAAUCGAUGCCCACAGAAGAGCCGGCGCAGGGAAGGUACGGACAGCGCUGGGGAGAAGACCAAGGGCAGGAGGGAAUCAGGCGCCUGGGGUCCCUCUGGCCGCCUGUGGCGCUGACCGUUCCCCAUCUCCCAGAACAAACUCAGAGGCGGGCGUGGUCAGCCCAGGAGUCAGCGGUGUCCUUUUGUUUUUUAAUAUUUUGUUCUGAUUACGAAAGCUAUAUAUGUUCAUUGUAGAAAACAAAAAUCACCAGAUCCACGCCAGAGGUACCCUGUUAAUGUGCAGAGUAAAUCCUUCCAGCCUUUUUCCUCUGCACCUCGAAUGCAGCUUUUAUUUUUGCAAACAUAGGACGUGCUCAGCUGCUUUUUUCUUCCAACACUGUGCCACCAACAUCCUGUGCCAUUUCCUGGCGCGGCAUCAUUGUAUCGGAUGGCUGCGCCCUGAGUCGUCCUGGUGGACGGUGGAGGCGCCGCCCAGGGCUUGGGGUCAGAAUCUCAGCCCCUUGGCUGUGUGACCUCAGGCAGGUGGCCUACACCCUAUGACCUCUCCAGUCCUCCUCUGUGUGGUGGGGCUGCGGAUACCUGCCUUACAGCCCGGUGGUGAGAACUGCAGGAGAAAAGAGGCAGGAAGCACUCAUUCCAUGCAGAGCACAUGGAAAGCAUUCCGUCAGCUGUGGGUAUUAUUAUUUUUCAUCUUCAUUGUGUUAUGCAGCUAAACCAUCAUUCUUUAGCCAAUCCUCUAUGAUUGAACA
Long non-coding RNA from Diceros bicornis minor, 1281 nucleotides. RefSeq lists it as uncharacterized. The transcript is spliced from 3 exons. Lineage: Eukaryota; Metazoa; Chordata; Mammalia; Perissodactyla; Rhinocerotidae. The record is from RefSeq and is a predicted model, not a curated record.